GGCGAGUGAAGAGGGAAGAGCUCAGUUUUGAAAUCUGGCAGUCAUUCCACUGUCCGAGUUGUAAAUUGAAGAGAAUGUCAUCCACACUGGACCAUGUCUAAAUUCCACAGGAUGGAGUAUCAGAGAGGGUAAUAAUCCCGUCUUUAACGUGGACCACCAGUGUUUAUGUGAUGCACUCUCUCAGAGUCGAGUAGUUUGGGAAUGCUGCUCUAAUGGGAGGUAAACUCCUUCUAAAGCUAAAUAUUGGCGAGAGACCGAUAGCGAACAAGUACCGUGAGGGAAAGAUGAAAAGAACUCUGAAAAGAGAGUCAAACAGAACGUGAAAUUGCUGAAAGGGAAGCGUUUGGAGUCAGAUGCAUCCUCAAUGUAAUACGGCUCAGUUGGCAGAGACUGAGAGCAGUGACUUGAAGAUGGGCCAGCACUCACGUAGAUCAUUGGAGAAGGGGUCAUGGAAUGUAGCUCAAUUCUUGAGUGUUUAUAGACUUGAUUCAUAUACAAUGUGUCUUAUGUGUGCAGCACGAGUGUUGGAUUCAUGGUUGGAUUGGAUUAUGGGUUCUAACCAACCCGCUUGAAACCCCGACCCAGGGAUCCUAACUGGAUUGCAAGUAUAAAAUGGAUUGAACUUUUGAUGGCUUAUGGAAGUGGGUCCUGGACUGAGAUUCUUCAUUAUGG
This 672-nucleotide ribosomal RNA is filed under the name Craterellus lutescens. RNAcentral's name for it is "Cantharellus lutescens partial large subunit ribosomal RNA". It matches the Rfam family "Eukaryotic large subunit ribosomal RNA", at positions 88 to 755 of the family's 3401-position model. The record is from RNAcentral. Lineage: Eukaryota; Fungi; Basidiomycota; Agaricomycetes; Cantharellales; Hydnaceae.